AAGUGCGAAUGCUGACAUAAGUAACGAUAAAACGGGUGAAAAACCCGUUCGCCGGAAGACCAAGGGUUCCUGUCCAACGUUAAUCGGGGCAGGGUGAGUCGGCUCCUAAGGCGAGGCUGAAAAGCGUAGUCGAUGGGAAACAGGUUAAUAUUCCUGUACUUGGUAAAGCUGCGAUGUGGGGACGGAGUAGGUUAGGUUAUCGCACUGUUGGAUAUGUGCGUUUAAGUUGGUAGGUGGGAAGUUUAGGCAAAUCCGGGCUUCCUUAACACAGAGAGAUGAUGACGAGGCUCUACGGAGCUGAAGUAACUGAUACCACACUUCCAGGAAAAGCCACUAAGCGAAAGGCUUUACUAAACCGUACUGAAAACCGACACAGGUGGUCAGGUAGAGAAUACUCAGGCGCUUGAGAGAACUCGGGUGAAGGAACUAGGCAAAAUAGCACCGUAACUUCGGGAGAAGGUGCGCCGGCGUAGAUUGUAAGGGCUAGCCCCUGAAGGUUGAACCGGUCGAAGAUACCAGCUGGCUGCAACUGUUUAUUAAAAACACAGCACUCUGCAAACACGAAAGUGGACGUAUAGGGUGUGAUGCCUGCCCGGUGCUGGAAGGUUAAUUGAUGGUGUAAUCGCAAGAGAAGCACCUGAUCGAAGCCCCAGUAAACGGCGGCCGUAACUAUAACGGUCCUAAGGUAGCGAAAUUCCUUGUCGGGUAAGUUCCGACCUGCACGAAUGGCAUAAUGAUGGCCAGGCUGUCUCCACCCGAGACUCAGUGAAAUUGAAAUCGCCGUGAAGAUGCGGUGUACCCGCGGCUAGACGGAAAGACCCCGUGAACCUUUACUAUAGCUUGACACUGAACAUUGAAUUUUGAUGUGUAGGAUAGGUGGGAGACUUAGAAGUAGUCACGCCAGUGAUUAUGGAGUCGACCUUGAAAUACCACCCUUUAACGUUUGAUGUUCUAACGAAGAUGACGAAACGUGGUCUCGGACAGUGUCUGGUGGGUAGUUUGACUGGGGCGGUCUCCUCCCAAAGCGUAACGGAGGAGCACGAAGGUUUGCUAAUCACGGUCGGACAUCGUGAGGUUAGUGCAAUGGUAUAAGCAAGCUUAACUGCGAGACAGACAAGUCGAGCAGGUACGAAAGUAGGUCAUAGUGAUCCGGUGGUUCUGAAUGGAAGGGCCAUCGCUCAACGGAUAAAAGGUACUCCGGGGAUAACAGGCUGAUACCGCCCAAGAGUUCAUAUCGACGGCGGUGUUUGGCACCUCGAUGUCGGCUCAUCACAUCCUGGGGCUGAAGUAGGUCCCAAGGGUAUGGCUGUUCGCCAUUUAAAGUGGUACGCGAGCUGGGUUUAGAACGUCGUGAGACAGUUCGGUCCCUAUCUGCCGUGGGCGU
This 1384-nucleotide ribosomal RNA is filed under the name Haemophilus influenzae. Its description in RNAcentral is "bacterial LSU rRNA". It matches the Rfam family "Bacterial large subunit ribosomal RNA", at positions 1286 to 2654 of the family's 2925-position model. Lineage: Bacteria; Pseudomonadati; Pseudomonadota; Gammaproteobacteria; Pasteurellales; Pasteurellaceae. The record is from RNAcentral.